GAUGAACGCUGGCUGCAGGCUUAACACAUGCAAGUCGAAGGGAGGCGACAUCGAUAGCUUCUUUUUGAUGGGUGCCGACGGGCGCACGGGUCGGUCACGCGUAUCCCACCUGCGCAUCACUUCGGUUUAACCUUGCGAAAGUUAGACUAAUACACAAUGUCAUCCAUCGUAGCCAGCUGAAUGGGACUACAGCUUUAUCGGCGCUGGAUGGGGAUGAGUCUGAUUAGCUUGUUGGCGGGGUAACGACCCACCAAGGCAACGAUCAGUAGGGGUUCUGAGAGGAAGGUCCCCGACAUGGGAACUGGGACACGGACCAAACGCCUACGAGAGGCAGCAGUGAGGAAUAUUGGGCAAUGGGCGAGAGCCUGAACCAGCCAGGGAGCGAGCAAGAUGACGGCCCUAUGGGGUGUAAACUGCAUUUAGGAAGGAAUAAAGUGGUUCGCAGGAGACAUUUUGCAGGUACCUGAUGAAUAAGGACCGGCUAAUUCCGUG
RNAcentral lists this ribosomal RNA (492 nucleotides) under uncultured bacterium. Its description in RNAcentral is "partial 16S ribosomal RNA". It matches the Rfam family "Bacterial small subunit ribosomal RNA", at positions 28 to 507 of the family's 1533-position model. The record is from RNAcentral.